AGUGAGUCCGGGCAGGGUCGAAUGCGGUGGGAGUAGAGAUGGGGUUACUAAUCUAAGAGAGUGGUUCGGAGGGAGGAGCAGGUAGGUUCCAAGAGGGCGGGAACUUCAGGAAAGCGCAGAGAGAACUCUCUCAGGCUUCAGAAAAGUGUAUACUCUUACUUUGCACCCUUGAGUCUGGCUCUUGCUUCUGGAGCCGUCGGGUAGGGGGUGGCCAUGAUCUUGGGGUCACCGGGGAGAGAGGUGGCCCUUUGUGGCUUCCAGAGGUCGGUACUGAAGGCGAACGUGCCUCAGUUGGGUGGCCGGGAGUUGCACCAGUUAUAACCCGGGCGUGUUUCGAUCCGCUGGUAGUUGUUUACUUGGUGAGGUUUGCGCCCGGCGGAGGGCGGUUGCCGUAUACCUAAAAUCGGAGUCAGCAGCAGUUUCCCUUUCCAGUGAGGAAUAUCAAUUCUUCUACGGUUAAGCCGGGAAAACAGCGGCUAGUUUGGGAGGGAAGAAACCCCUUGGGCAAACGCCCAAAGCCUGCGUAUAUUCCGGCCGGAGCAUCCUGGCGCCCAGUUUGGGGAGGAGGGGUGAAGGGGAAGAUCUGGAUACGAGGCCCGGCAGGGAGAGGGUAACUCCUGGAGCCACUCGCCGAGCACUGCCUGCGACCCCAAUCGGGGAUACCAUUCUGGUUGCUCAGUGAUUGACCAGGAGGCGGAAGCCAGUUAGGGGGACCAAGAAGUGGAGUAGGGAGAGCCUCCAUCGGCCCACGGAUGCGAGGCUCUGCCACUAUUUCCCAUUGGCCAAACCCUACUGGAAGUGGAAGGCUAAGAAGUCCACUGGUGCAAUCCAUACAGAAAAGAAACUACCACAGGGAAGAGAGAAAACGAUGGCGUUUUGACAAAUGGAACAAAGAUGGAGUGUGACUGACAAUUCAGGUCAGAAGGAAAAUUAAGGCACAGGAAGACUGAUGUUGGUCGGCCUCCUUGCCAAGAAGCAGAAAUUCAGGGGAAGGCGUCCAGCCACAUGCGAACUGGCUCAACACUGGCCAUUUUGUUUGAGCAAUUUUGUUGAAUGUUUUCUACAAAAGAGCACUUUUUCUCGGACUUCAAACAUCCUUAUAUGCAGGAUCAACACCACACACUGCCAUCAUCCCCUGGAGUAAGUGGGAGCUCCUGGAAGACCUGACUAUCUGGGGCUGAGUGGUGUGGCUCCAGGCAGAACUACUGCUGCAGCCAGGAAAGGAGACUCCCCACGGGAGACUAGCCUGUUCCUGGGCUCACUUCUCACCCCUCCUUCCCAGCAUCUUCCAUAGAAAAUAAAGAAACAUCAGAAAUAUAAAAACCAGGACCAAAAGGAGGCCCAGGUACAGGAGCAUAAAACAUCUGGCAACAUGUAGCAAAAACAGGAGACUUUUUUCUUCUAACUGAAUUUUGGCCUCUUGGUGCCAGUAUGUGAAAAAGGCCUUGUAGGCCAGACGCAGUGGCUCACACCUAUAAUCCUAGCACUUUGGGAGGCUGAGGCGGGCAGAUCAUAAGGUCAGGAGUU
Macaca mulatta (Rhesus monkey) is the source of this 1527-nucleotide non-coding RNA. Lineage: Eukaryota; Metazoa; Chordata; Mammalia; Primates; Cercopithecidae. The record is from RefSeq and is a predicted model, not a curated record.